CCAAUAGCGUAUAUUAAAGUUGUUGCAGUUAAAAAGCUCGUAGUUGAAUUUCGGGAUCAGCAGGUUGGUCUUGCCACUGGUAUGUACUAGCUUGCUGAUUCCUCCUUCUUGUAGAACCGUAAUGCCAUUAAUUUGGUGUUGCGGGGAAACAGGACUGUUACUUUGAAAAAAUUAGAGUGUUUAAAGCAGGCCAACGCCUGAAUACAUUAGCAUGGAAUAAUGAAAUAGGACGUUCGAACCUAUUUUGUUGGUUUCUAGGAUUGACGUAAUGAUUAAUAGGGAUAGUUGGGGGCAUUAGUAUUCAAUUGUCAGAGGUGAAAUUCUUGGAUUUAUUGAAGACUGACUACUGCGAAAGCAUUUGCCAAGGAUGUUUUCAUUAAUCAAGAACGAAAGUUAGGGGAUCGAAGACGAUCAGAUACCGUCGUAGUCUUAACCAUAAACUAUGCCGACUAGGGAUCGGAUGAUGUUAAUUUUUUAAUGACUCAUUCGGCGCCUUACG
This 499-nucleotide ribosomal RNA is filed under the name uncultured Glomeromycotina. RNAcentral describes it as "partial small subunit ribosomal RNA". It matches the Rfam family "Eukaryotic small subunit ribosomal RNA", at positions 591 to 1092 of the family's 1831-position model. Lineage: Eukaryota; Fungi; Glomeromycota. The record is from RNAcentral.